RNAcentral lists this ribosomal RNA (477 nucleotides) under uncultured anaerobic ammonium-oxidizing bacterium. Its description in RNAcentral is "bacterial SSU rRNA". It matches the Rfam family "Bacterial small subunit ribosomal RNA", at positions 365 to 832 of the family's 1533-position model. The record is from RNAcentral.
UUCGCAAUGCCCGAAAGGGUGACGAAGCGACGCCGCGUGCGGGAAGAAGGCCUUCGGGUUGUAAACCGCUGUCGGGAGUUAAGAAAUGCAAGGAUGUUAAUAGCGUCUUUGCUUGACUAAGGCUCCGGAGGAAGCCACGGCUAACUCUGUGCCAGCAGCCGCGGUAAUACAGAGGCGGCAAGCGUUGUUCGGAAUUAUUGGGCGUAAAGAGCACGUAGGCGGCUGUGUAAGUCGGUUGUGAAAGCCUUCCGCUCAACGGAAGAACGGCAUCCGAUACUGCAUGGCUUGAGUGCGGGAGGGGAGAGUGGAACUUCUGGUGGAGCGGUGAAAUGCGUAGAUAUCAGAAGGAACACCGGCGGCGAAGGCGACUCUCUGGCCCGUAACUGACGCUGAGUGUGCGAAAGCUAGGGGAGCAAACGGGAUUAGAUACCCCGGUAGUCCUAGCCGUAAACGAUGGGCACUAAGUAGAGGGGUUUU